GACGAACGCUGGCGGUGUGCUUAACACAUGCAAGUCGAACGGAAAGGCCCUGCUGGUGGUGUGUGCGCGGGGGGCGAGCGGGUGAGUAACAAGUGAGCAACCUUCCCUUCACUUUUGGAUGACGUCAGGGAACGGGAGCUAAGACCAUAUGGGAGCUCCUCCUCCUUGGUGGUGGUUGGAUAUUUUCGGCGGUGGGGGGUGGACUCGCCGCUUAUCAGGUUGGUGGUGGGGUAGUGGCUUACCAAGGCUUAGACGGGUAGCCGGCCUGGGAGGGUGACCGGCCACAAUGGGACUGAGAUACGGCCCAGACUGCUACGGGAGGCAGCAGUGGGGAAUAUUGCACAAUGGGCGGAAGUCUGAUGCAGCAACGCCGCGUGCGGGAUGACGGCCUUCGGGUUGUAAACCGCUUUCGAUUGUGACGAAGCGUGUUUGACGGUAAUGAGUAAAGAAGCAACGGCUAACUUCGUG
RNAcentral lists this ribosomal RNA (468 nucleotides) under uncultured bacterium. RNAcentral describes it as "partial 16S ribosomal RNA". It matches the Rfam family "Bacterial small subunit ribosomal RNA", at positions 28 to 507 of the family's 1533-position model. The record is from RNAcentral.